CACGGGUUGUGCGUUUGCACAGGGUGUGUGCUUGCACAGGGUGUGUGUUUGCAUGGGGGUGUGCGUUUGCACAGGGUCUCUGCUUGCACAGGGUGUUUGCUUGCACAGGGUGUGUGUUUGCACAGGGUGUGUGUUUGCAUGGGGGUGUGCGUUUGCACAGGGUGUGUGUUUGCACAGGAGUGUGCGCUUGCACAGGGUGUGUGUUUGCAUGGGGGUGUGCGUUUGCACAGGGUGUGUGUUUGCACAGGAGUGUGCGCUUGCACAGGGCGCAUCUUUGCAGCGGGGUGCACGCCUGCAGGGAGGGUGCGCGUUUGCACGGGGUGGGGGGGGGCGUCACGCCUUCGCACGCGAGUGUGCAUUUGCACAAGCGGCGAGCUCC
This 379-nucleotide long non-coding RNA is filed under the name Apteryx haastii (Great spotted kiwi). RNAcentral describes it as "lncRNA (ENSAHAG00000000475.1)". The record is from RNAcentral. Lineage: Eukaryota; Metazoa; Chordata; Aves; Apterygiformes; Apterygidae.